Molecule: transfer RNA, 72 nt
Filed under: Candidatus Amphrikana amoebophyrae
Lineage: Bacteria; Pseudomonadati; Chlamydiota; Chlamydiia; Parachlamydiales; Simkaniaceae
Description: tRNA-Thr
Rfam family: tRNA
About the family: Transfer RNA (tRNA) molecules are approximately 80 nucleotides in length. Their secondary structure includes four short double-helical elements and three loops (D, anti-codon, and T loops).
Source: RNAcentral
GCCCAGAUAGCUCAGCGGUAGAGCACUUGCAUGGUAAGCAAGCGGUCGGAGGUUCAAUUCCUCUUUUGGGCA